CAGCAGCCACGGGAAUACGUAGGGUGCGAGCGUUAAUCGGAAUUACUGGGCGUAAAGCGUGCGCAGGCGGUCCGCUAAGACAGAUGUGGAAUCCCCGGGCUUAACCUGGGAACUGCAUUUGUGACUGGCGGGCUAGAGUGUGUCAGAGGGGGGUAGAAUUCCACGUGUAGCAGUGAAAUGCGUAGAUAUGUGGAGGAAUACCGAUGGCGAAGGCAGCCCCCUGGGAUAACACUGACGCUCAUGCACGAAAGCGUGGGGAGCAAACAGGAUUAGAUACCCCUGUAGUCCCUGUCUCUUAUAC
RNAcentral lists this ribosomal RNA (301 nucleotides) under uncultured bacterium. Its description in RNAcentral is "partial 16S ribosomal RNA". It matches the Rfam family "Bacterial small subunit ribosomal RNA", at positions 509 to 807 of the family's 1533-position model. The record is from RNAcentral.